Molecule: ribosomal RNA, 253 nt
Filed under: uncultured bacterium
Lineage: Bacteria
Description: partial 16S ribosomal RNA
Rfam family: Bacterial small subunit ribosomal RNA
Source: RNAcentral
UACGUAGGGGGCAAGCGUUGUCCGGAUUUAUUGGGCGUAAAGAGCGUGUAGGCGGCCAGGUAGGUCUGCUGUGAAAACUCGAGGCUCAACCUCGAGACGUCGGCGGAAACCAUCUGGCUAGAGUCCGGAAGAGGAGAGUGGAAUUCCUGGUGUAGCGGUGAAAUGCGCAGAUAUCAGGAAGAACACCCGUGGCGAAGGCGGGUCUCUGGACAGUUCCUGACGCUGAGGCACGAAGGUCAGGGGAGCAAACGGG